Unclassified non-coding RNA from Loxodonta africana (African savanna elephant), 337 nucleotides. Its record names the gene 7SK. It matches the Rfam family "7SK RNA". Rfam says of the family: 7SK was discovered as an abundant small nuclear RNA in the mid-70s but a possible function has only recently been suggested. Lineage: Eukaryota; Metazoa; Chordata; Mammalia; Proboscidea; Elephantidae. The record is from Ensembl.
GCAUGUGAGGAUGGUCUGUCUACAACAUCUAUCACCCAUUAAUCACCGGGGCUAAUUCGGCUGGUUGGGGCAUCCCCUUCCUCCCUUGUGCUCCAUGUGCACUCCUCCCAAAGCUACCCUUUCAGACAAAGAGAACAACCUUCCCAGAUAGAAGAGAAUCAUUCUAGAACCUCCAAAUAAGCGCUCAAGGCUUUAAACAUACAGACAUUUAAGAAUCUUUUGUAACAAGAAGACUAGAGAUAGGUAGUUCUAGGGUUACGCAGCUUCUCUACAUUUCUCUCGGUUCUAGAAAGGCAGUAUAGUGUAGCAAUGAGGAGGGCAGGCUUUGCCUUGCUCU